Molecule: ribosomal RNA, 1085 nt
Filed under: Cylindrocladiella camelliae
Lineage: Eukaryota; Fungi; Ascomycota; Sordariomycetes; Hypocreales; Nectriaceae
Description: partial 18S ribosomal RNA
Rfam family: Eukaryotic small subunit ribosomal RNA
Source: RNAcentral
ANNNUAGCCAUGCANNUCNAGNNNANCAUUAUACAGCGAAACUGCGAAUGGCUCAUUAUAUAAGUUAUCGUUUAUUUGAUAGUACCUUACUACUUGGAUAACCGUGGUAAUUCUAGAGCUAAUACAUGCUAAAAAUCCCGACUUCGGAAGGGAUGUAUUUAUUAGAUUAAAAACCAAUGCCCUUCGGGGCUCCUUGGUGAUUCAUGAUAACUUCUCGAAUCGCAUGGCCUUGUGCCGGCGAUGGUUCAUUCAAAUUUCUUCCCUAUCAACUUUCGAUGUUUGGGUAUUGGCCAAACAUGGUUGCAACGGGUAACGGAGGGUUAGGGCUCGACCCCGGAGAAGGAGCCUGAGAAACGGCUACUACAUCCAAGGAAGGCAGCAGGCGCGCAAAUUACCCAAUCCCGACACGGGGAGGUAGUGACAAUAAAUACUGAUACAGGGCUCUUUAGGGUCUUGUAAUUGGAAUGAGUACAAUUUAAAUCUCUUAACGAGGAACAAUUGGAGGGCAAGUCUGGUGCCAGCAGCCGCGGUAAUUCCAGCUCCAAUAGCGUAUAUUAAAGUUGUUGUGGUUAAAAAGCUCGUAGUUGAACCUUGGGCCUGGCUGGCCGGUCCGCCUCACCGCGUGUACUGGUCCGGCCGGGCCUUUCCCUCUGUGGAACCUCAUGCCCUUCACUGGGUGUGGCGGGGAAACAGGACUUUUACUUUGAAAAAAUUAGAGUGCUCCAGGCAGGCCUAUGCUCGAAUACAUUAGCAUGGAAUAAUAGAAUAGGACGUGUGGUUCUAUUUUGUUGGUUUCUAGGACCGCCGUAAUGAUUAAUAGGGACAGUCGGGGGCAUCAGUAUUCAAUUGUCAGAGGUGAAAUUCUUGGAUUUAUUGAAGACUAACUACUGCGAAAGCAUUUGCCAAGGAUGUUUUCAUUAAUCAGGAACGAAAGUUAGGGGAUCGAAGACGAUCAGAUACCGUCGUAGUCUUAACCAUAAACUAUGCCGACUAGGGAUCGGACGGUGUUAUUUUUUGACCCGUUCGGCACCUUACGAGAAAUCAAAGUGCUGGCUCCACNNGGGGNNNNNNNGNNNNNNNNNNGA